RNAcentral lists this ribosomal RNA (471 nucleotides) under uncultured bacterium. Its description in RNAcentral is "bacterial SSU rRNA". It matches the Rfam family "Bacterial small subunit ribosomal RNA", at positions 364 to 832 of the family's 1533-position model. The record is from RNAcentral.
UUCGCAAUGCCCGAAAGGGUGAACGAGCGACGCCGCGUGCGGGAUGAAGGGUUUCGGCUUGUAAACCGCUUUUCUUUGGGAAGAAGGUCUGUCUCGUGCAGAUGGGCUCGACGGUACCAGAGGAAUAAGCCUCGGCUAACUCCGUGCCAGCAGCCGCGGUAAGACGGAGGAGGCAAGCGUUGUUCGGAAUCACUGGGCAUAAAGAGCACGUAGGCGGUUGAGCAAGUCCAUUGUGAAAUCCCCCGGCUUAACCGGGGAACUGCAGUGGAUACUACUUGUCUUGAGUGCAGAAGGGGAGAGUGGAAUUCCUGGUGGAGCGGUGAAAUGCGUAGAUAUCAGGAGGAACGCCGGUGGCGAAAGCGACUCUCUGGUCUGUUACUGACGCUGAGGUGCGAAAGCUAGGGGAGCAAACGGGAUUAGAUACCCCGGUAGUCCUAGCCCUAAACGAUGGGCACUAAGUAGAGGGGUUUU